RNAcentral lists this long non-coding RNA (790 nucleotides) under Parus major (Great Tit). RNAcentral's name for it is "lncRNA (ENSPMJG00000007935.1)". Lineage: Eukaryota; Metazoa; Chordata; Aves; Passeriformes; Paridae. The record is from RNAcentral.
AUCCUAUAGAGAAAUUAAAAUGUAAAACAUCUCAAGACUAUUUUCUCAGGGUUUUCUAAUUGGAGGAUGGAUGAGUUGAGGCAGAUGUCAGGAGAAGUGUAUUUUACACCUCAAAAACUGUCACAGCAGAAGUGCUAGCCUGUGGUUCAGUCAUGGAAUAUGAAGAUAGCAGAUGGUACCAUAACAGAGAUAUCUGUCAGAACAGGACUGGAAAAGCAGAAAGCUUCAAGAAGAGCAUAAUGAAAAUAUUCCUGAUAAAAAUAAAUAUGCAACAUGUUAAGCAAGGACAGCGGAAGACAAGUGUAAAUGCAGAGAGCACAUACAAGAUUACAAUGAAAGUCAAGAGAAGAAAACUAAAUACAGACAUCAUUUAUGGACUUAAAAUAGGUCCUGCAUUAGCCGGAUGCAUGCUACUGCUGCUGGAGCUGGCACAACAAAACGUGAAUUUGCUGAAAGGAACUCCGGAAAAAAACCCCUAUUAAAAGAGAUUGGAGAUUUGAAGAGACCAAUUAGUGGGAGAAGAUUAAAUGGUUUCAUUGUACCCUUUUCAUGCAGGCAAAAUUCAAUGGAAGAUUAUGUAUUUGGUUUUGGAGGGAGGGAGGAGCCCCAACCAAAAAAAGGAGGCAUAAUCAGAGGCAUAGUAACUGAGGGGAUACUAUAACCAUCUCAAAUGCUUGAAUAGAGAAGAAAUUUAAAAUGGAGCUCAGAGGAAAAAAAAAAAGAAAAAGAAAAAAAAAAGAGGAAAUGAGAGUAGCAAUAAAAAGAGAAGAAAAAAGGUAAAUUAAAAUCA